Molecule: ribosomal RNA, 274 nt
Filed under: uncultured bacterium
Lineage: Bacteria
Description: partial 16S ribosomal RNA
Rfam family: Bacterial small subunit ribosomal RNA
Source: RNAcentral
AUACGGAGGGUCCAAGCGUUAUCCGGAAUCAUUGGGUUUAAAGGGUCCGCAGGCGGUCAAUUAAGUCAGAGGUGAAAGCCCAUCGCUCAACGAUGGAACUGCCCUUGAUACUGGUUGACUUGAGUUAUACGGAAGUAGAUAGAAUAAGUAGUGUAGCGGUGAAAUGCAUAGAUAUUACUUAGAAUACCGAUUGCGAAGGCAGUCUACUACGUAUAUACUGACGCUGAGGGACGAAAGCGUGGGGAGCGAACAGAAUUAGAUACCCUAGUAGUCC